This 739-nucleotide ribosomal RNA is filed under the name uncultured bacterium. RNAcentral describes it as "bacterial SSU rRNA". It matches the Rfam family "Bacterial small subunit ribosomal RNA", at positions 50 to 762 of the family's 1533-position model. The record is from RNAcentral.
CGAGCGAGCUUGCCUAGAUGAUUUUAGUGCUUGCACUAAAUGAAACUAGAUACAAGCGAGCGGCGGACGGGUGAGUAACACGUGGGUAACCUGCCCAAGAGACUGGGAUAACACCUGGAAACAGAUGCUAAUACCGGAUAACAACACUAGACGCAUGUCUAGAGUUUGAAAGAUGGUUCUGCUAUCACUCUUGGAUGGACCUGCGGUGCAUUAGCUAGUUGGUAAGGUAACGGCUUACCAAGGCAAUGAUGCAUAGCCGAGUUGAGAGACUGAUCGGCCACAUUGGGACUGAGACACGGCCCAAACUCCUACGGGAGGCAGCAGUAGGGAAUCUUCCACAAUGGACGAAAGUCUGAUGGAGCAACGCCGCGUGAGUGAAGAAGGGUUUCGGCUCGUAAAGCUCUGUUGGUAGUGAAGAAAGAUAGAGGUAGUAACUGGCCUUUAUUUGACGGUAAUUACUUAGAAAGUCACGGCUAACUACGUGCCAGCAGCCGCGGUAAUACGUAGGUGGCAAGCGUUGUCCGGAUUUAUUGGGCGUAAAGCGAGUGCAGGCGGUUCAAUAAGUCUGAUGUGAAAGCCUUCGGCUCAACCGGAGAAUUGCAUCAGAAACCGUUGAACUUGAGUGCAGAAGAGGAGAGUGGAACUCCAUGUGUAGCGGUGGAAUGCGUAGAUAUAUGGAAGAACACCAGUGGCGAAGGCGGCUCUCUGGUCUGCAACUGACGCUGAGGCUCGAAAGCAU